Molecule: ribosomal RNA, 475 nt
Filed under: uncultured bacterium
Lineage: Bacteria
Description: bacterial SSU rRNA
Rfam family: Bacterial small subunit ribosomal RNA
Source: RNAcentral
UGAACGCUAGCGGCAGGCUUAACACAUGCAAGUCGAGGGGUAUUGGUUUCGGACCAAGAGACCGGCGCACGGGUGCGUAACGCGUAUGCAAUCUACCUUUUGCAGAGGGAUAGCCCAGAGAAAUUUGGAUUAAUACCUCAUAGUAUAUGGACUUCGCAUGGAGACCAUAUUAAAGUUCCAACGGCAAAAGAUGAGCAUGCGUCCCAUUAGCUAGAUGGUAAGGUAACGGCUUACCAUGGCUACGAUGGGUAGGGGGUCCUGAGAGGGAGAUCCCCCACACUGGUACUGAGACACGGACCAGACUCCUACGGGAGGCAGCAGUGAGGAAUAUUGGACAAUGGGCGCAAGCCUGAUCCAGCCAUGCCGCGUGCAGGAUGACGGUCCUAUGGAUUGUAAACUGCUUUACACAGGAAGAAACAACGCUACGUGUAGCGUCUUGACGGUACUGUGAGAAUAAGGAUCGGCUAACUCCGUG